AGUGAACGCUGGCGGUAGGCCUAACACAUGCAAGUCGAACGGCAGCACAGUAAGAGCUUGCUCUUACGGGUGGCGAGUGGCGGACGGGUGAGGAAUACAUCGGAAUCUACUUUUUCGUGGGGGAUAACGUAGGGAAACUUACGCUAAUACCGCAUACGACCUACGGGUGAAAGCAGGGGAUCUUCGGACCUUGCGCGAUUGAAUGAGCCGAUGUCGGAUUAGCUAGUUGGCGGGGUAAAGGCCCACCAAGGCGACGAUCCGUAGCUGGUCUGAGAGGAUGAUCGGCCACACUGGAACUGAGACACGGUCCAGACUCCUACGGGAGGCAGCAGUAGGGAAUAUUGGACAAUGGGCGCAAGCCUGAUCCAGCCAUCCCGCGUGGGUGAAGAAGGCCUUCGGGUUAUAAAGCCCUUUUGUUGGGAAAGAAAAGCAGCAGGUUAAAACCCCGCUGUUCUGACGGUACCCAAAGAAUAAGCACCGGCUAACUUCGUG
Molecule: ribosomal RNA, 492 nt
Filed under: uncultured bacterium
Lineage: Bacteria
Description: partial 16S ribosomal RNA
Rfam family: Bacterial small subunit ribosomal RNA
Source: RNAcentral